RNAcentral lists this long non-coding RNA (16884 nucleotides) under Theobroma cacao (cacao). RNAcentral describes it as "long non-coding RNA (TCAC_LNC000630)". Lineage: Eukaryota; Viridiplantae; Streptophyta; Magnoliopsida; Malvales; Malvaceae. The record is from RNAcentral.
UGACAUCAUCCUAUUUAUUCUUGUGCAAGGAAAGAUACAAGUAUAUUAACAGUGUGCAUUUGCCUAGUAUAAAGAACUGAGCCACCAGAUGAAACCCUUGGUCAAAUAAGCUAGAAAGACCAAAGUUAAGUCUGACAUCUGUGAAACGCGCGGACAUGAAGGCCCCCAUCUACAUGAAGAUUGAUCAUCGUCCUGUAGGUGACACAUUUAUUCUCAUCACUCAGUUUGAACACAAAGCAGUGCACCAGGACAGCCGAGAAGAUCUUCAUCUGCCUAUAAGCAAAUUCCUUGCCUAAACAUAUUCGAGGCCCUGCCUGUAAACCAUUAGAAAAUAAAGUUCAGUAUGUUAACACCUUUAGCCGAUAAAGUCACACUUGUGAAACAAUAUGAGAGGUUUGAACUUUCAGAAAAAGACUCAGAACCAGAAUCAAAUGCUGUUAUACUGCCUUUUUACCCUCUUUUUUUCUAUUUGAGGUUUUAUUUUACACCAAGUGCCAAUCAGAAUAAAAAUGCUUUGCCCGAUCUGCAAAAGAAGCAUACAACAAUUUCUAAUUUGCAACAUGUUCUGCAUACCUGGAAUGCUGUAAACUUAAAAGGGCUUUCUGAUUGGAACAUCCCAUCCUCAUCAAGCCAUCUCUCUGGUUUGAACUCCUCUGCAUCAUCACCCCAAAUGAAUUGCAUUCUGCCCAUUGCAUAAGGUUGAUAACAAACCAUAUCCCCUUUCCUCACACUGAACCCAUCUGGUAGAGUAUCAUCAGAGAAGCAUACCUUUGCAUCCUGCAAUCAAUGUGAAGAGAUAGUGAGAACCAAAGAACAAGGAAGCUAAUUUCUAACCUUCCAGAUACGCAUUAAAUGGAUAUCAGUUUAUAGAUGCAUGUUCUUGGAUGUACAUUAACAAGUUCAGUUGGAGGAUUCAAGAUUCAAGGCAACUUUGCUUACAACUGGAACAGCGGGGUAGAGCCUUAAUGUUUCAGUUAUGGCUGCAUGGAGAUAGUGCAUUUUUCCUAAAGCUUCUUCGCUCAAGAUAGCAGCAAAUUCAGCAUAAUCUUUAACAUCUUUCGUGUCAGUUGCUUCCUUCACUUCUUGUGCAACCUUUUCUUGAACAUCAGGAUGCUUGCAGAGCAUGUAAAUAAACCACGACAGAGUAGCUGCCGUUGUGUCUUUCCCAGCAAUUAUGAAGUUAAGGAUUAUAUCUCGCAAGUAUGUUGGAUCAGUGUCACUCACUUGUAGAAAUCUGGAUAAAAUGUCUUCCUUUUUCAUCUGCAUAAUCUGUAGAAAAUAAUAAUUUCAAUAUUCCACUUCAACAGGUAAUAUAAGUUGUUAACUAUAAGUAGCUCUACUGUUCUAGUUCACUCACUGAAGAUUCAUCCUUUGAGUUGCGCAUUUGCUCAAUCUUGUUGUGGAUCAGCUUAUACACAAAAUUAUCAACCACUUCUAUACUUUUCUUCAGUGUGGCCUCUGAUCCAAUAUUUAGAAAUCUUUUGAUCUUCCAGAAGAUAUCAACAUAUCGGAAGAGGAUUGCUGCACUUGAAUCAUCAAAAGCAGCUGUAAACUGUUUGCCUUCUAAAUUUGAUCCACACAUGCUGUCUAGUUCGACUCCAAAUGCAACUUUGAAUAUUGAAUCUAAAGUCGAUUUCAUAAACAAGUCCUGCACAAUAUAUCGUUAUAACAGAUUCAUUUUAUAUAUCACUCUGCCAUUGAUCUUGCCAUUAGGUGAACUUACCUGUAUAUCCAUUAUCUCAUUGGAAUUUGCUGCUUCAGACACUAUAGUCGCAAGUUUUGCCGCAUUUUCCCGAAAGACUACACUGCUGAAAUCUCUCAAGACCUUGGUUGAGAAUUCAUAGCUUGAUACUUUCCUCUGUUGACGCCACUUAUCACCAUCGACAGUGAAAAUCCCAUCGCCUAGUAAACCCUUUAGCAAGCUGUAAUUGUACUCACCCUGCACAAAAAAUUAAACAGAUUGGAAAACCAAAACAACUCCACCAUUCUGCCUUUUGGGUGGCCAUAUAAUUAUCAAAAGCCCUUUCAUUCCAACUAAUCACUCUGCGGCACAUUAGCAUCUUCAAUUGACUUACUUGUGGCGAGAUUGAGACCCUUUUCUUAAUCUAAUUAUGGGUGUUUCUGUCUAGGCUACUUAUACUAACCAAUCACCGGGAGAGUUCAGAAUUUUCUAGACCAACAAAUUAUUUGUGACUUUGAGGUGUGAAACGAGAGUCGGCACCAUACCUUGCCAUAAUUCUGGAAAUUUGUUUUGAGAAUAUACUCAACAUUGUCGGGUUCCGAGGUAUAAAUCUCAUUCCUGAAAGGGCUAAGCAGCCUGUAGGUCCUGUACUUCCCUGCAAGAUCAGUCAUAUAGUGAUGCAAUCUUCUGAAGUUGAGGAGCUGGUUAAAAACCGUUCCGCCAACAGGAUGGUACUUGGCCUUAUUUUUCCUCUGCCUUUCUCUUAGUUUUGCUGUGAGGAACUUGACAGUGAAAAGGGCAAGGAUUAGACUUAGAACCAAAGCUACCAAGGGAACUGGGUUAGACAGAUCCAUGGACAUGGAGGUACGUUUGGGUAAGCUGGUCUAUCAAUGUUAGGUGAAGGCUGUAUUAAACUAGAGAAGUCGGUUUUGUAAUACUAAUAAUAUCAACGGAGAGAAGUCCUUCUGCUAAGUCAUUCCUCUCAACCAAACGUGUCAUAACCUAAUUGGACGACAUUCGGACAAGCCCUAAACGUGGUUCUCUCGAAUUUCACAAGGUGAUCUUUUUGAAAAUUGGUAAAAAAUUACUAAUAAACUUCACCACAGCCAAGUAACAAAACAAAGGGCCAUACUUGUUAUUUCCUUAGUUAUGAUGAUAAAGAACAUACAAAUCUCUUCUAAUUGGUUAUUCUAUAGUUAAGUAAAGAGAAUGAUUUUUGAAUUUAAUUCUUAAAUAAGAAAAUACGUGUAUUUAUCAUGUUAAAUUUAAUACUCAAAUGAAAAAUUAAUUAGAAUUUUAUUUCGGAGCAUAUGAUACAAUCAAGUAACUUAAGUACAAAGAUGAUUAAGCUUGGCAAACAAGGAUAUGUCAUGUUUCUCAAUCCGAGAGAUAAGAAGCACAGAGCCAAAGGCCCUGCAAAAAGGCAGGGGAGAACUGAAUUGUUGUUUCCUAAAACUUUGCAUUAAGAUCAACAUGACUUUCUAGUCAUUAAAUAUUCUGCUAGAUUUCGAACUUGCAAAUAUGGUCUGUUUUAAUGAAAUUGCAGAAUGUUGUCUCACGUCUCAAGAACUUUGAUUUCACUUCUUUUUCAAGGAAAAAAAAAUGGUUUCACUUAGUUUGCAGAAGUGUCCUGAACUCAAUUUUCAGACAAAAGUAUGGUUCAAGACUCCUUGGUGAGUGAAAGUAAUUCUUCAUCAUAUUUAUUCCUUUAUUUUUCUUUUUGGAUAUCAUUGUAUUUAUUCUUGUGCAAGGACAAGUACAUGCAUACUCAAACCUUGCAAUUGCCCAGCAUACAGAACUGAGCCAACAGAUGAAACCCGUGGUCAAAUAGGCAAGAAAGACUAAGUCUGACAUCUGGGAAAUGCGCGGACAUGAAGGCCCCCAUCUACAUGAAGAGUGAUCAUCGUCCUGUAGGUGACAGAUUUAUUCUCAUCACUCAGUUUGAACACAAAGUAGUGCACAAGAACAGCCGAGAAGAUCUUCAUCUGCCUAUAAGCAAAUUCCUUGCCUAAACAAAUUCGAGGCCCUGCCUGUAAACCAUUAGAAAAUAAAGUUCAGUAUGUUCACAUCUUUAGCCGGUGAAAUCACACUUGUGAAACAAUAUGAGAAGUUUGAACUUUCGGAAAAAGACCCAGAACCAGAAAUCAAAUGCCGUUAUACUGAUUUUUUACCCUUUUUUCCUAUUUGAGGUUUUAUUUUACACCAAGUGCCAAUCAGAAUAAUAAUGCUUUGGCCGAUCUGGAAACGAAGCGUACAAGAAUUUCUAAUUUGUAGUAUGUUCUGCACACCUGGAAUGCUGUAAACUUAAAAGGGCUUUCUGGUUGGAACAUCCCAUCCUCAUCAAGCCAUCUCUCUGGUCUGAACUCCUCUGCAUCAUCACCCCAUAUGAAUUUCAUUCUGCCCAUUGCAUAAGGUUGAUAACAAACCAUAUCUCCUUUCCUCACACUGAACCCAUCUGGAAGAGUAUCAUCAGAAAAGCAUAUCUUUGGAUCCUGCAAUCAAAGUGAAGAGGUAGUGAGAACCAAAGAAAACCCCAGAACAUAGAAAGGAAGCUAAUUUCUAGCCUUCCCGAUACGCCUUGAAUGGAUAUCAGUUUAUAGAUGCAUGUUCUUUGAUGUGCAUUAACAAGUUCAGUUGGAGGAUUCAAGAUUCAAGGCAACUUUGCUUACAACUGGAACAGCGGGGUAGAGCCUUAAUGUUUCAGUUAAGGCUGCAUGGAGAUAGUGCAUUUUUCCUAGAGCUUCUUCGCUCAAGAUAGCAGCAAAUUCAGCAAAAUCUUUAACCUCCAUCGUGUCAGUUGCUUCCUUCACUUCUUGUGCAACCUUUUCUUGAACAUCAGGAUGCUUGCAGAGCAUGUAAAUAAACCACGACAGAGUAGCUGCUGUUGUGUCUUUCCCAGCAAUUAUGAAGUUAAGGAUUAUAUCUCGCACGUAUGUUGGGUCAGUGUCAUUCAAUUGCAGAAAUCUGGAUAAAAUGUCUUCCUUUUUCAUCUGCACAAUCCGUAGAAUACAAUUAUUUCAAAAUUCUACAUAGAAACCGUUAAUUAUAAGUAGCUCUAUUCUUCUAGUUCACUCACAGAAGAAUCGUUCGAGUUACGCAUCUGCUCAAUCUUGUUGUGGAUCAGCUUAUACACAAAAUUAUCAACCACUUUUGUACUUUUCUUUAGUUUUGCUUCUGAUCCAAUAUUUAAAAAUCUCUUGAUCUUCCAGAAGAUAUCAACAUAUCGGAAGAGGAUUGCUGCGCUUGAAUCAUCAAAAGCAGCUGUAAACUCUUUGCCUUCUAAAUUUGAUCCACACACGCUGUCUAGUUCAACUCCAAAUCCAACUUUGAAUAUCGAAUCUAAAGUCGAUUUCAUAAACAAGUCCUGCACAACAUUUCGCUAUAACAGGUUCAUAUUAUAUAUCACUCCGUCAUGGAUCUUGCCAUUAGGUGAACUUACCUGAAUAUCCAUUAUCUUGUUGGACUUCGCUGCGUCAGACACUAUAUUUGCAAGCUUUGCUGCAUUUUUCCGAAAGACUACAGUGCUGAAAUCCCUCAACACCUUCGUUGAGAAUUCAUAGCUUGACACUUUCCUCUGUUGACGCCACUUAUCACCAUCGACUGCGAAAAUCCCAUCACCUAGUAAACCCUUUAGCAAGCUGUAAUUGUACUCACCCUGCACAGAAAAUUAGACAAAUUGAAAAACCAAAACGACCCCACCAUUCUGCCGUAGCCAUAUAAUUAUCAAAAACUCUUUCGUUAUAGCAAAUAACCCUGCAGCACAUUAGCAUUUGUAGUUGACUUAAUUGUGACUAUAGAUUGAGACACUCUUUCAUAUUCUAAUUCUGGGUGUUACUGUCUAAGCUACUUCUUCCAACCAAUGACAGGGGGAGUUCAAAAUUUUCUAGACCAACAAAUUACCUUGCCAUAAUUCUGGAAAUUUGUUUUGAGAAUAUAUUCAACGUUGUCUGGUUCCGAGGUAUAAACCUCACUCCUGAAAGGGCUAAGCAGCCUGUAGUUCCUGUACUUCCCAGCAAGAUCAGUCAUAUAGUGAUGCACUCUUUUGAAGUUGAGGAGCUGGUUAAAAAGUGUUCCGCCAACAGGAUGGUACUUGGUCUUGUUUUUUUUCUGCUUUUCUCUUAGUUUUGCUGCGAGGAACUUGACAGUGAAAAGGAUCAGGAUUAGAUUUAGAAACAAAGCGACCAAUGUAGCUGGGUUAGACAGAUCCAUGGAGAUGGAGGUCCUUUUUGGGUAAGCUGGUCGAUCAAUGUUAGCGGGUGAAGACUGAAGAAAACUAGAGGUCUUUUUAUAAUACUAAUAAUAUCAACGGGGAGAAAUCCUUUUGCUAAGUCAUUUCUCUUAACCAGACGUGUGACUAUAUUCGGACAAUCCGCAAACGUGUUUCUCUUAAAUUUUACGUGCACAUUGCUGAGAGUCCAACCAUGAGAGAGAUAUGCACCGACUUUCCUUCGUUGUCUCCUUUUUCGUUUUUAAAUUGUUAUAAGUUAUUAACUAAUUUCACCACAACCAAUUAACAAAACAAAGGGCAGGACUAGGUUUUUUUUUACUCAGUCAAUAUAACUAUUUAGAGAAAAUUGUGAAAAAUAACUCAUAAGGUGAUUUCAAAAAUAAUUAUCCAUAUAAUGUUAUCUGUUUUUACCAAAAAACAAACAUGAGUAAACCAAAAUGCUCUCAGAAACAUCCUGGCAAAUCAAUCUCCUAAUAUCUCUCUCGCUGUAAAGAAAAUAAAUACUCAGUUAUUUCAGCUCGCUCAACUCUUUCAGCUCUCUAAAUUAUAUCAGCUUUGUCAACUCUCUGUUAAGUACCAUCGUCAUCAACUCUCUUAGCUAUUUGAACUGUAUCAUCUAUAUGUACUUAUUAAAGAUAUAAAUUAAAGAAUAUAAAAGAAAACGAAGUAAAUGAAUAAUUGAAAAGACAAGUCGAGCCACUAAUUACUACAAUGAUCACUGUCUGAUCACGACAGCUAAAGCCACUGCAAUUGCUCGGCCAAUAAAGUUGACAAACUUUGUUGAAAUAGGACUUGCAUUGAAAAUCACGUCAGUUCAUACUAUCUUAGGAUCAUAUGUGACCAUUUUGUAUAAGCUAGCUUUCUUUCAAAUUAUGAUAACUAUGCAUUUAAUGAAUGAUUUAUAUGAUGAUUAGUAUGCAUUCUUAGGCCUAGCUACUGUUCAAAACUUAGUUGUUAAGUUUUGUUAUGUAUAUAAACUAAGUCAAUGCAUAUCAGAAAUAUGAAACCUACUGUUACAACAAAAACUGUCUUUACUUGCUCUGUUUCAUACUUAUCCUACAUCAACUAAAACACAACAAAACUUACUAAAUAAAGCAAUCUAUAUACCAACAAUGUCUUGGAAUUUAGCAAGUUUUAGUUUGUCCUCUUGGAAUGACAUAGAGGUCGAGGCCAUGCUGGAGGGUGAAGCCACAACAUGGUCCUAUCGUCUGCCAAGUUGAAGCGAAAGUAGUGAAUAAGGGAACUUUGUUGAGAUUUUCUUUAUCUGCUCAGAAGAAAUUAAGAAAAAAUUAUAUGGUGUAGAUACUUGAUUUUGAUUUUGAUUGUUAACAUAUUUCUUCAAUAUAAAGUAAAAUUAAUUUAUAAAACGUUGUAUUACUAUGUAAGAAGUAGUGUAGAUAAUUUAUAAUAAGUAGAAAAAUCACGUCAUUGUAUAAACUAGUGAAAAUAUCUUCGAAAUAAAUGAUGAGAUUUUUAAAUUAAUUUUUUUAAAAUGUUUUGAAGAGUUUGAUUUGAUAACUUAAAUACAUAAAUGAAAAUUUUCUAAAUACGUAUGCAUAAAAUCCACUAUCACCAUCAAUGACCUAAACAUUCAUAAGGCUUUAAUGCCUCAACAGUUGACAUUUUCUCAUUGGUAUGAAUAAAUUUCAUUAAUUACAAGAUUACUCAAUUCCAUAACCCUUCAAGAUAUUUUCUCAUUGAUUGUGUUCGAUUUGAUAAGGAUGUUAAUUUUUUUUUUUGAAUUACAAAUAUUUUUCAUUUUUUUAAAUAAUUAAGUGACGCACUUCUAAUGCCUCAGUAGCUGACAUUAAUUAUCCAUUGGUUGCAUUCACUUUGAUUCGGAGCUAAUUAACAACCGAAAAGUUGGCCGAUGUUUGCCGACUUGGAUUUAAUGGUCAUAUGAGUUGGUGUAACAAUGUGAUACCAAAAAGGUAGUAAUCAAUACAAAUUUUGAGUAGGAAGAGUACUGCAUUCAAAUGAAAUCAAGAAGAAGAUUGUGGAGAAAACUCUCAUUUAAUGGAAGAACAUGACUGCCAAAUACGAGUACCUAAACAUGGUUUGGCAAUUGCCAUCAUCCUAUGCAUCCCUAGGUUACUUAACUGAUUGAUGUAAUUCAUUGAAUAAAAUGGUUAGUUGUUAUUAUCAUGUCAUGUCAUCGUCAUGAUAUUUCUUCCUCUUUUGUGAGUAAUGAGAUUUUUGAAGGAUGGAGAUGACUCUACCUAAAUUCUUAGAUUUUUUUGUUGCUUAUUUUCAUUGUAUUUUGAGUUUUUGACUGUGUCUAACUGUUUAUCUUUUGCAAAGCCAUUUUUUCACCUUAAUUUCAACCCAGCAUCUGUGUGUUGUCCGAUGGGUUAGAAAAUGGGCAAGUUUGAUUGGUGGUUGAUUCCUUUUCUUCAGCAUUUUGGUAACUUGGGCCUAUAAAAUUUAUUUAUAGUAGACAAAAAAAAACUUUUAUUAAAAAAUAUUAUAGUAAAUAUUUGUUUCUUUUCGGAUAAUUGACUUUUAUUUAGCUAAGGAAUAUUUUAUUUGAAAUAUGUCCCAUAUAUACCACUGAAAAUCCAAGGCUUUUUAUGGUUAUUCAUUCUUAAUGGCAUUUCUACUAAAUGCUUUCUAAGAAUCAGAACGCAUGGUGUAUGUCCUACAAUACAAAUGGUGAUAACCUUUGUUUUUGGUGUUACAGCCAUGGAGGAAAAGAGUGAUGAUAUUUUAUUUUCUUGUCACUUCAUACGGUCCAUGGAGGAAAUGUGGAUAGAUCGAAGAUAAGUAAAUCAAGAUUCACAGACUGUGAAAGCGUAUUAAAAGAUGAGAACUUUUUGACUUGGAUUUUUUUUAAUAAAAGUUCUUUGCUUGGAUUUUUUUUUAGUAAAAAUUCUUUGCUUGGAUUUAAGAGAUGAGAUUCAAAGAACUUUUAAGAGAUGCAGCAAACAACCUCAAAAUCCAAGCUCUUUGCUUGUAAGCUUCCUAGCCACUUGUAAACAGAAAAUACGGCUUCUAUGGAGUCCCAAUCUCGGGAAAUGGUCAGGGCAUAUAGACCAGAUGACUCGAAUUGUACAUAUAUUUUUUUCUUUUUUGGUGAAAUAACUCAAAUUCCAUUGAUCAACACAUUUACAGAAAAAAGCAAAUCAACACUAUAGAAAAAUGCAAAUCGGGGCUCUUAUGUACAACCAGCAAGGUUGAAGACUUGAAGUUGAACAAAUUGAUGACUUUGCACAGGAGGAUAUUUGGAAAUUCAUCAACUUGUCCUUGGAACAGCAUAAAGAUGGAGGCCCCCCUUCAUAUGAAGUGUGAACAUUGUCCUGUAAGUUGCAAUUUUCGUAUAAUCAACUAAUUUAAAGCGGAAGAAGCGAAGAAGGGCAAUUGAGACUAUCUUCAUCUACCGGUGAGCAAAAUCCUUGCCUAAGCAAGUUCGAGGACCCGCCUGAAACAUAAUGCAGCAGCUGGAAAAGAUUAAGAUCGUUUGACAACUAUAUAGGCACAUGCAUGUUAUACACAUGGUAGAAAUGGAACAAAGAAUACUAACAUGAAAUGCUAUGAAUUUGAAAGGGGAUUCGGACUGGAAAACUCCAUUGUUAAGCCAUCUUUCUGGUCGAAAAGUGUCGGCAUCUUCUCCCCAAAUGUCAGGCAUUCUACGCAUGGCGUAGGCCAUGUAAUACACCCCGUCUCCUUUCUUGAGUUUGUAGCCAUCGGGGAGAAUGUCAUCCUGCUCUGCAUUCCUUCCAUCCUUGAAGCACAAAGUGAGAACCAUAUCAUAUUCCAGCUGUCGAAAUGCUAAGACUGCAAGAAAAUCUAUGAGUGUCUCAGGCACCUUACAAUGGCGACAGCAGGGUACAGCCUUAAGGUCUCUGUUAUGGCUGCAUGAAGAUAGUGCAUUUGCUCUAGGGUUGAAUCAGUUAUGGUUGUCACGAAAUCAUCAACAUUAUUAGCACCAUUUCUUUUACUACUAGUGACGUCCACCACUUCUUGUGCAAGUUUUUCUUGUAUCAAAGGGUUCUUGCAGAGCAUGUAGAAGAACCAGGACAGAGUAUUCGCAGAAGAAUCUUUGCCAGCGAGUACGAAGUUCAGGAUUAUAUCCCUUAAAUAUUUGUCAUUCAUUGUGUCUGGAUUCUUCUCGCUUUCCACUAAAAAUCUUGAAAGUAUGUCUUCUUUCACAUUCUUGAAGCCAUAAAAAGAAAUAAGAAAAAACAAACCAAUUAUUAGUAAAGUAUAAAUUUCCACGCCAAAAACCAGAUUACCUUAAGCAGUGAGAUUGAAUUCAACAGUGUUCUUGUGACUCUCAAGUCCCACCAUAUUUGUUAGACCAAGAUUGACUAUAAGAAAUUCUUGCAGCAAAAUAUAUAUGGCUCACCAAAUCUCGUUCCAUGCCCAGCAGUUUCCUCUUGGAGCUAAUGACAUCGUGAACAAAGUAUCAACGACUUUGAUAUUCUUUCUGAGGGCAGCUUCAGAGCCAAUGUUAAGAGACCGUUUCAGCUUCCAGAAAGGGUCAACAAAGCGCCUCUCAUUUGAAUCAUCAAAAGCCUUCAUAAAAGUAGUCCCUUCCUUACUUGACCCAUCCAUGCAGUUUAAAUCUAUGCCAAACCCAACUUUGAAUAUGGAAUCUAGAGUGCAUGUCAUUAAUAGAUUCUACAAAUUAAAGUAAACACAGCAUGAAAAACUGAAAAAGGGAAAAUUAGACAAGCAUAAUUGUGAGCAUCUUUAAAGUUUUGGGUUAAUUUGAGGGUCAGAUUUCUCACUUGCAUGUCAAAAGCUUGACCCGACACUUCCAGCUUCGAAAUAACUCCAACCAGUUUGGCAGCGUUCCUUCUGAAAACAGAGCAGCUAAAAUAUUUAAGAACUCUCGUCGAGAACUCGAAGCUUGCCAGCUUCCGCUGCUUCCGCCACUUGUCUCCGUCCACCGCAAAGAUCCCUUGUCCAAAAAGAUCUAUCAGAAUUUCUUGGUUUUGUUUACCCUUACAGUAUCUGUCGAACUUUGUUUUCAAUAUGUACUCUACAUUUCGCGUAUCGACGGUGUAUACUACGCUUAGCCCUAAAGCGAGUUGCCUGUAAGUGGGCUGUUUUUUGGCCGCUUGGGUUUGGUAGUCGUAGAGAUAGUUGAAAUAAAACAACUGGUUGAAAACGCUGCCCUUCACCGGUGGGUUGUCAGGAUUUCCGAUGGAUUUUCCGGUGAAGAUUUUGAUUGUGAGAAAAGAGAAGAUCAGGAAGAGAAUGAGUGGUGGUAAUGACAUCAACAAGAAGAUGGUAGAGAGAAUAUCCAUUUUUCCUUUUUCUAAUGAAUACUCGGAAAGGUUAUAGGCCAUAUAUGCAGAUUCUUGCAUUGGGUUGCAUUCAUUUUUCAACCUACCAACAAAAUCAAACCGUUUUCAUCACCAAUAUCUUUCUCAACAACAAAAUCAUUUGUUUAAUAAUUAUAAUGUUUACACGUGUACGAUUGCCAUUUCAUCAAUUUGAUUUUUCUUGUAAAUUAAGUUGAUGCCACCAUAUCUCAUACUUCAAAAAUUUUAGAGGAUUGUACGGAUAAUCAUAAAUUUAUAAUCAUAAUUAUAAUCUAUUUAACUUCUAAAGUGAAUUAACAUAUAUAACUUUAAUCAAGUAAGCAUGAAAAAAGUGUAUCAUUUAAGUUUGGGUCUUGUUUACGAAUAUUCUAAGAGUUUUUUUAUCGUUAAUUAAAAUAUUAUAAUAAUAUUUUUCUUUUAAAUGUCGUAAUUGACUGGUAGUGCGAUGAUUUUCAAUAUAUCUAAAAUGAUAUUACUCAAUAUAAUAACUUUAAAUAAUAUCAUUAUAACAAUAGUUAGUAAAAGUCAUAAUAUUCAAAAAAGCUUUUAAAUUAUUCAAAAAAUUUAAAAUAAAUCUUACUUUUAUUAUAUUCAAUUAUAUUUUUAUAUUUUUAUUUUAGAUCAAAUAAAUCUUUUAUUUUUAUUUUGAAUCAAAUAAAUCUUUAUAAAUAAUAAUUGACUUAGUUAAAAUGUUAUUUGUCAUUAUAUAUUACGUGACGCUGAUGUAGUAUACUAACAUAUCAUAAUUAAUGAUGAUGUGAUAUGUUGAUUUAUCAUAUUUGAUAAUGAUAUGACAUGCUAGUUUAACCUAAUAACAUGAUGACAUUUUUCAAUCUCUACAUUAAUAUCAUAUUAGUGCCACGUGGAUAUAAAAUGAUAAAAUAUAUUUUGACUAAUGAAAAUUAGUCAAUUAUUAUUAAUAAAAGCUUAUUUGAUCUAAAAUAAAAAUAUAGAGACUUGAUUAAGCGUAACAAAAGAAUAAAAAUUUAUUCGAAUUUUGUUAAAUAGUUUCAGAGCUUAUUUGAGAAAUAUGUGUUAGUAAAACCAUUUAUAUUUAAAUUUUUAUUUUAUUUUUUGAAAAGUAAUUUGUCAUAAACGGAAUAAUGACAUGGCUAUAGAUUAAGCUAGGCUAUAAACUUAUUUCAGCCUUAAAUGAUUAACAAUGAAUAAGGUGCGUCCCCUCUCAAGAAACCCCUAUACAAUAGUUAGGAUAAACCCUUAAAGGAUGGACCUCAGGACCGGGGGCAGCUCAAGUACCUCUUGUGACGACAUGAUAUUCAUUGAAGACUAUUUGGACUUCAAGCGUGUUCAUCCAUUGACAUUGGCAAUUAGUUUCUGCUGGCAUGAACCGUAUGGCGACCACUUGUAUGAUUGUGAUAUAUCAUGCUGUUGAGUGCGAGCUCAACUUUGUUGAAGUACAUUGGUGUCCUUGGUUUUGUUGAAUUCUGACAAUAGACAUCCCAUACCCAAUUCAUAGCAUACAUAUGGCUUUUAUCUUUGUUUAAAUUGAAUUAAGAACAUCCGGAUUCAUUUCAUACUCAUAAGAUCUUAAGAUGAUCAAGAUUUGCACUUAACGGAAGCAAAACUGGCCUGAACUCAAUAUUCAGACAAAAGUAUGGUUCUAGACUCUUUGGUCAGUGAAAGCAACCAUCCAUCAUAUCGAUUCCUUUCGUCCUUUUUGCUUGGUGACAUCAUCCGAUUUACUCAUGUGCAAGGAAAGAUACAAGUAUAUUAACAGUGUGCAUUUGCCUAGUAUAAAGAACUGAGCCACCAGAUGAAACCCUUGGUCAAAUAAGCUAGAAAGACCAAAGUUAAGUCUGACAUCUGUGAAGUGCGCGGACAUGAAGGCCCCCAUCUACAUGAAGAUUGAUCAUCGUCCUGUAGGUGACACAUUUAUUCUCAUCACUCAGUUUGAACGCAAAGCAGUGCACCAGAACAGCUGAGAAGAUCUUCAUCUGCCUAUAAGCAAAUUCCUUGCCUAAACAAAUUCGAGGCCCUGCCUGUAAACCAUUAGAAAAUAAAGUUCAGUAUCUUCACAUCUUUAGCCGGUAAAAUCACACUUGUGAAACAAUAUGAGAGGUUUGAACUUUCAGAAAAAGACUCAGAACCAGAAUCAAAUGCUGUUAUGCUGCUUUUUUACCAUUUUUUUUCUAUUUGAGGUCUUUUUUUACACCAAGUGCCAAUCAGAAUAAAAAUGCUUUGCCCGAUCUGCAAAAGAAGCAUACAACAAUUUCUAAUUUGCAACAUGUUCUGCAUACCUGGAAUGCUGUAAACUUAAAAGGGCUUUCUGGUUGGAACAUCCCCUCCUCAUCAAGGCAUCUCUCUGGUCUGAACUCCUCUGCAUCAUCACCCCAAAUGAAUUUCAUUCUGCCCAUUGCAUAAGGUUCAUAACAAACCAUAUCUCCUUUCCUCACACUGAACCCAUCUGGAAGAGUUUCAUCAGACAAGCAUAUCUUUGCAUCCUGCAAUCAAAGUGAAGAGGUAGUGAGAACCAAAGAAAACCCCAGAACAUAGCAAGGAAGCUAAUUUCUAGCCUUCCCGAUAUGCAUUGAAUGGAUAUCAGUUUAUCGAUGCAUGUUCUUUGAUGUGCAUUAACAAGUUCAGUUGGAGGAUUCAAGAUUCAAGGCAACUUUGCUUACAACUGGAACAGCGGGGUAGAGCCUUAAUGUUUCAGUUAAGGCUGCAUGGAGAUAGUGCAUUUUUCCUAGGGCUUCUUCGCUCAAGAUAGCAGCAAAUUCAGCAAAAUCUUUAACCUCCUUCGUGUCAGUUGCUUCCUUCACUUCUUGUGCAACCUUUUCUUGAACAUCAGGAUGCUUGCAGAGCAUGUAAAUAAACCACGACAGAGUAGCUGUCGUUGUGUCUUUCCCAGCAAUUAUGAAGUUAAGGAUUAUAUCUCGCAAGUAUGUUGGAUCAGUGUCACUCACUUGUAGAAAUCUGGAUAAAAUGUCUUCCUUUUUCAUCUGCAUAAUCUGUAGAAAAUAAUAAUUUCAAUAUUCUACUUCAACAGGUAAUAUAAGCUGUUAACUAUAAGUAGCUCUACUGUUCUAGUUCACUCACUGAAGCUUCAUCCUUUGAGUUGCGUAUUGGCUCAAUCUUGUUGUGGAUCAGCUUAUACACAAAAUUAUCAACCACUUCUAUACUUUUCUUCAGUGUGGCCUCUGAUCCAAUAUUUAGAAAUCUUUUGAUCUUCUAGAAGAUAUCAACAUAUCGGAAGAGGAUUGCUGCACUUGAAUCAUCAAAAGCAGCUGUAAACUGUUUGCCUUCUAAAUUUGAUCCACACAUGCUGUCUAGUUCGACUCCAAAUGCAACUUUGAAUAGUGAAUCUAAAGUCGAUUUCAUAAACAAGUCCUGCACAAUAUAUCGUUAUAACAGAUCCAUUUUAUAUAUCACUCUGCAUUGAUCUUGCCAUUAGGUGAACUUACCUGUAUAUCCAUUAUCUCAUUGGAAUUUGCUGCUUCAGACACUAUAGUUGCAAGUUUUGCCGCAUUUUCCCGAAAGACUACACUGCUGAAAUCUCUCAAGACCUUGGUUGAGAAUUCAUAGCUUGAUACUUUCCUCUGUUGACGCCACUUAUCACCAUCGACAGUGAAAAUCCCAUCACCUAGUAAACCCUUUAGCAAGCUGUAAUUGUACUCACCCUGCACAGAAAAUUAAACAGUUUGGAAAACCAAAACAACUCCACCAUUCUGCCUUUUGGGUGGCCAUAUAAUUAUCAAAAGCCCUCUCAUUCCAACUAAUCACUCUGCGGCAUAUUAGCAUCUACAAUUGACUUACUUGUGGCGAGAUUGAGACCCUUUUUCUUAAUCUAAUUACGGGUGUUUCUGUCUAAGCUACUUACACUAACCAAUCACCGGGAGAGUUCAGAAUUUUCUAGACCAACAAAUUAUUUGUGACUUUGAGGUGUGAAACGAGAGUCGGCACCAUACCUUGCCAUAUUUCUGGAAAUUUGUUUUUAGAAUAUACUCAACAUUGUCUGGUUCCGAGGUAUAAAUCUCAUUCCUGAAAGGGCUAAGCAGCCUGUAGUUCCUGUACUUCCCAGCAAGAUCAGUCAUAUAGUGAUGCAAUCUUCUGAAGUUGAGGAGCUGGUUAAAAACCGUUCCGCCAACGGGAUGGUACUUGGCCUUAUUUUUCCUCUGCCUUUCUCUUAGUUUUGCUGUGAGGAACUGGACGGUGAAAAGGGUCAGGAUUAGACUUAGAACCAAAGCUACCAAGGGAACUGGGUUAGACAGAUCCAUGAAGAUGGAGGUACGUUUGGGAAAGCUGGUCUAUCAAUGUUAGGUGAAGGCUGUAUUAAACUAGAGAAGUCGUUCUGAAAUACUAAUAAUAUCAACGGAGAGAAGUCCUUCUGCCAAGUUAUUCCUCUCAACCAAACGUGUCACAACCUAAUUGGACUACAUUCGGACAAGCCCGAAACGUGGUUCUCUCGAAUUUCACAAGGUGAAAUUUUUGAAAUUGGCAAAAAAUUACUAAUAAAUUUCACCACAACCAGAUAACAAAACAAAGGGUCAUACUUAUUUUUUCCUUAGUUAUGAUGGUAAAGGACAUACAUAUCUGUUCUAUUCGGUUAUUUUGUAGUUAAGUAAAGAGAAUGAUUUUUUAAUUUAAUUUUUAAAUAAAAAUACGUGUAUUUAUCAUGUUAAGUUUAAUAUUCAGAUGAAAAAUUAAUUAGAAUUUUAUUUCAAAGCAUAUGAUACAAUUAAGUAACUUAAGUACAAAGAUGAUUAAGCUUAGCAAACAAGGAAAUGUCAUAUUUCUCAAUCCGAGAGAUAAGAAGCACAGAGCCAAAGGCCCUGCAAAAAGGCAGGGGAGAACUGAAUUGUUGUUUCCUAAAACUUUGCAUUAAGAUCAACAUGACUUUCUAGUCAUUAAAUAUUCUGCUAGAUUUCGAACUUGCAAAUAUGGUCUGUUUUAAUGAAAUUGCAGAAUGUUGUCUCAGGUCUCAACAACUUUGAUUUCACUUCUUUUUCAAGGAAAAAAAAAUGGUUUCACUUAGUUUGCAGAAGUGUCCUGAACUCAAUUUUCAGACAAAAGUAUGGUUCGAGACUCCUUGGUGAGUGAAAGUAAUUCUUCAUCAUAUUUAUUCCUUUAUUUUUCUUUUUGGAUAUCAUUGUAUUUAUUCUUGUGCAAGGACAAGUACAUGCAUACUCAAACCUUGCAAUUGCCCAGCAUACAGAACUGAGCCAACAGAUGAAACCCGUGGUCAAAUAGGCAAGAAAGACUAAGUCUGACAUCUGGGAAAUGCGCGGACAUGAAGGCCCCCAUCUACGUGAAGAGUGAUCAUCGUCCUGUAGGUGACAGAUUUAUUCUCAUCACUCAGUUUGAACACAAAGUAGUGCACCAGAACAGCCGAGAAGAUCUUCAUCUGCCUAUAAGCAAAUUCCUUGCCGAAACAAAUUCGAGGGCCUGCCUGUAAACCAUUAGAAAAUAAAGUUCAGCAUGUUCACAUCUUUAGCCGGUGAAAUCACACUUGUGAAACAAUAUGAGAAGUUUGAACUUUCGGAAAAAGACCCAGAACCAAAAAUCAAAUGCUGUUAUACUGCUUUUUUAGCCUCUUUUUCUAUUUGAGGUUUUAUUUUACACCAAGUGCCAAUCAGAAUAAUAAUGCUUUGGCCGAUCUGGAAACGAAGCGUACAAGAACUUCUAAUUUGUAGUAUGUUCUGCACACCUGGAAUGCUGUAAACUUAAAAUGGCUUUCUGGUUGGAAC